This 73-nucleotide transfer RNA is filed under the name Pseudomonas aeruginosa. RNAcentral's name for it is "tRNA-Lys". It matches the Rfam family "tRNA". From Rfam's summary of the family: Transfer RNA (tRNA) molecules are approximately 80 nucleotides in length. Their secondary structure includes four short double-helical elements and three loops (D, anti-codon, and T loops). The record is from RNAcentral. Lineage: Bacteria; Pseudomonadati; Pseudomonadota; Gammaproteobacteria; Pseudomonadales; Pseudomonadaceae.
UCGUUAGCUCAGUCGGUAGAGCAGUUGGCUUUUAACCAAUUGGUCGUAGGUUCGAAUCCUACACGACCCACCA